RNAcentral lists this transfer RNA (66 nucleotides) under Altererythrobacter sp. C41. Its description in RNAcentral is "tRNA-Ser". RNAcentral also lists the same sequence under 1 other name. The record is from RNAcentral. Lineage: Bacteria; Pseudomonadati; Pseudomonadota; Alphaproteobacteria; Sphingomonadales; Erythrobacteraceae.
GCCGAGAGGAGGAGCAUCUAAUUCGUAAUGAUGGGGUCAGGUGUUCGAGUCACCUAAGCGGCACCA